Molecule: non-coding RNA, 24 nt
Filed under: Mus musculus (house mouse)
Lineage: Eukaryota; Metazoa; Chordata; Mammalia; Rodentia; Muridae
Source: RNAcentral
GGACGCAAGCUUCGGCCUACCUGC